This 479-nucleotide ribosomal RNA is filed under the name uncultured bacterium. RNAcentral's name for it is "partial 16S ribosomal RNA". It matches the Rfam family "Bacterial small subunit ribosomal RNA", at positions 28 to 507 of the family's 1533-position model. The record is from RNAcentral.
GAUGAACGCUGGCGGCGUGCUUAACACAUGCAAGUCGAGCGAGAAGUUUUGAAAAGAUUCUUCGGAUGAAAUUUAAAAUGGAAAGCGGCGGACGGGUGAGUAACGCGUAGGCAACCUGCCCCAUACAAAGGGAUAGCAUUUGGAAACGAAUAUUAAUACCUUAUGAAACUUAACUAGUGCAUGCUAGGUAGGUCAAAGAUUUAUCGGUAUGGGAUGGGCCUGCGUCUGAUUAGCUAGUUGGUGAGGUAACGGCUCACCAAGGCGACGAUCAGUAGCCGUCCUGAGAGGGUGAACGGCCACAUUGGAACUGAGACACGGUCCAAACUCCUACGGGAGGCAGCGGUGGGGAAUAUUGCACAAUGGGGGAAACCCUGAUGCAGCAACGCCGCGUGAAAGAUGAAGGCCUUUGGGUCGUAAAGUUCUGUUCUAGGUGAUGAAAACUGACAGUAACCGAGGAGAAAGCCCCGGCUAACUCCGUG